GUAGGGUCCGAGCGUUAUCCGGAAUCAUUGGGGCGUAAAGAGCUCGUAGGCGGUUCAGCAAGUCGGCUGUGAAAGUUCGAGGCUCAACCUCGAAAUUGCAGUCGAUACUGCUGUGACUCGAGUCCCGGUAGAGGAGAAUGGAAUUCCCGGUGUAGCGGUGAAAUGCGCAGAUAUCGGGAGGAACACCAGUAGCGAAGGCGGUUCUCUGGGCCGGCACUGACGCUGAGGAGCGAGAGCGUGGGGAGCAAACAGGAUUAGAUACCCUGGUAGUCCACGCCGUAAACGUUGGAUGCUAGGUGUGGCGGUCUACCAACGACUGCUGUGCCGAAGCUAACGCAUUAAGCAUCCCGCCUGGGGAGUACGGCCGCAAGGCUA
RNAcentral lists this ribosomal RNA (375 nucleotides) under uncultured organism. RNAcentral describes it as "partial 16S ribosomal RNA". It matches the Rfam family "Bacterial small subunit ribosomal RNA", at positions 527 to 896 of the family's 1533-position model. The record is from RNAcentral.